RNAcentral lists this ribosomal RNA (468 nucleotides) under Salipiger thiooxidans. Its description in RNAcentral is "bacterial SSU rRNA". It matches the Rfam family "Bacterial small subunit ribosomal RNA", at positions 8 to 524 of the family's 1533-position model. Lineage: Bacteria; Pseudomonadati; Pseudomonadota; Alphaproteobacteria; Rhodobacterales; Roseobacteraceae. The record is from RNAcentral.
AGAGUUUGAUCCUGGCUCAGAACGAACGCUGGCGGCAGGCCUAACACAUGCAAGUCGAGCGCACCUUCGGGUGAGCGGCGGACGGGUGAGUAACGCGUGGGAACGUGCCCUUCUCUGCGGAAUAGCCACUGGAAACGGUGAGUAAUACCGCAUACGCCCUUCGGGGGAAAGAUUUAUCGGAGAAGGAUCGGCCCGCGUUAGAUUAGGUAGUUGGUGGGGUAAUGGCCUACCAAGCCUACGAUCUAUAGCUGGUUUGAGAGGAUGAUCAGCCACACUGGGACUGAGACACGGCCCAGACUCCUACGGGAGGCAGCAGUGGGGAAUCUUAGACAAUGGGCGCAAGCCUGAUCUAGCCAUGCCGCGUGAGUGAUGAAGGCCUUAGGGUCGUAAAGCUCUUUCGCUGGGGAAGAUAAUGACUGUACCCAGUAAAGAAACCCCGGCUAACUCCGUGCCAGCAGCCGCGGUAAU